AUUGAACGCUGGCGGCAGGCCUAACACAUGCAAGUCGAGCGGAUGAAGGGAGCUUGCUCCUGGAUUCAGCGGCGGACGGGUGAGUAAUGCCUAGGAAUCUGCCUGGUUGUGGGGGAUAACGUCCGGAAACGGGCGCUAAUACCGCAUACGUCCUGAGGGAGAAAGUGGGGGAUCUUCGGACCUCACGCUAUCAGAUGAGCCUAGGUCGGAUUAGCUAGUUGGUGGGGUAAAGGCCUACCAAGGCGACGAUCCGUAACUGGUCUGAGAGGAUGAUCAGUCACACUGGAACUGAGACACGGUCCAGACUCCUACGGGAGGCAGCAGUGGGGAAUAUUGGACAAAGGGCGAAAGCCUGAUCCAGCCAUGCCGCGUGUGUGAAGAAGGUCUUCGGAUUGUAAAGCACUUUAAGUUGGGAGGAAGGGCAGUAAGUUAAUACCUUGCUGUUUUGACGUUACCAACAGAAUAAGCACCGGCUAACUUCGUG
This 484-nucleotide ribosomal RNA is filed under the name uncultured bacterium. RNAcentral's name for it is "partial 16S ribosomal RNA". It matches the Rfam family "Bacterial small subunit ribosomal RNA", at positions 30 to 507 of the family's 1533-position model. The record is from RNAcentral.